GUGCUUGAUUUGGAACACAUAUACUAAAAUUAGAACUAUACAGAGAAGAUAAUAGCUUCUGUGCAAGGAUAUCAUGCAAAUAUGUGGUGUUCCAUAUUUUU
Dipodomys ordii (Ord's kangaroo rat) is the source of this 101-nucleotide small nuclear RNA. Lineage: Eukaryota; Metazoa; Chordata; Mammalia; Rodentia; Heteromyidae. The record is from Ensembl.